RNAcentral lists this ribosomal RNA (374 nucleotides) under Rhizophagus intraradices. Its description in RNAcentral is "eukaryotic LSU rRNA". The record is from RNAcentral. Lineage: Eukaryota; Fungi; Glomeromycota; Glomeromycetes; Glomerales; Glomeraceae.
UUGAAAGGGAAACGAUUGAAGUCAGUCGUACCGACGGAAAAUCAGCUCUUCGAGUGCGGACUUGUGGGUUACGUGAGCUUUACGGUCUCGUUGUUUGCAAUGUUCGUUCUUUUUGGGUGUACUUUUUCGUAUGGUUGGCCAAUAUCUGUUUCGAUCGCUAUAAAAUGACCGGCGGAAUGUAGCUUCGAUCUCGUAUUGAAGUGUUAUAGCCUCUGGUAGAUGUGGUGAUUGGGACUGGGGAUUGCAACGAAUACCUUCUGGGCUAUCCGUCUGAUCUCUGAAAGUUGCUUAGGUGCCGAAAGCAUGCUUACGGUUAUUUAAGUUGACGGUCAAAAGGUUAGAACGUGAUUAUAUUCGUUAAGGAUGUUGACGUA